This 253-nucleotide ribosomal RNA is filed under the name uncultured Eubacteriales bacterium. RNAcentral's name for it is "uncultured Clostridiales bacterium partial 16S ribosomal RNA". It matches the Rfam family "Bacterial small subunit ribosomal RNA", at positions 524 to 776 of the family's 1533-position model. The record is from RNAcentral. Lineage: Bacteria; Bacillati; Bacillota; Clostridia; Eubacteriales.
UACGUAGGGGGCAAGCGUUAUCCGGAUUUACUGGGUGUAAAGGGAGCGUAGACGGCUAAUCAAGUCAGAAGUGAAAACCCAGGGCUCAACUUUGGGACUGCUUUUGAAACUGAGUAGCUAGAGUGCAGGAGAGGUAAGCGGAAUGCGUGGUGUAGCGGUGAAAUGCGUAGAUAUACGGAGGAACACCAGUGGCGAAGGCGGCCUGCUGGACAAUAACUGACGCUGAGGCGCGAAAGCGUGGGGAGCAAACAGG